Molecule: ribosomal RNA, 497 nt
Filed under: uncultured bacterium
Lineage: Bacteria
Description: partial 16S ribosomal RNA
Rfam family: Bacterial small subunit ribosomal RNA
Source: RNAcentral
GAUGAACGCUGGCGGCGUGCCUAAUACAUGCAAGUCGAGCGAACAGACGAGGAGCUUGCUCCUCUGACGUUAGCGGCGGACGGGUGAGUAACACGUGGAUAACCUACCUAUAAGACUGGGAUAACUUCGGGAAACCGGAGCUAAUACCGGAUAAUAUAUUGAACCGCAUGGUUCAAUAGUGAAAGACGGUUUUGCUGUCACUUAUAGAUGGAUCCGCGCCGCAUUAGCUAGUUGGUAAGGUAACGGCUUACCAAGGCAACGAUGCGUAGCCGACCUGAGAGGGUGGUCGGCCACACUGGAACUGAAACACGGUCCAGACUCCUACGGGAGGCAGCAGUAGGGAAUCUUCCGCAAUGGGCGAAAGCCUGACGGAGCAACGCCGCGUGAGUGAUGAAGGUCUUCGGAUCGUAAAACUCUGUUAUUAGGGAAGAACAAAUGUGUAAGUAACUAUGCACGUCUUGACGGUACCUAAUCAGAAAGCCACGGCUAACUACGUG